Molecule: non-coding RNA, 1378 nt
Organism: Monodelphis domestica (gray short-tailed opossum)
Lineage: Eukaryota; Metazoa; Chordata; Mammalia; Didelphimorphia; Didelphidae
Source: RefSeq, a predicted model, not a curated record
GCCCUGCGGAACACGGUCUCCCAUGAUCAACUAGACAAGGGUCUGCAUCUCUCUCUCUCCCUUUCCCUGUCUCUGUCUCCCUCUCUGUCUCUCUCUCCCUUUCUCUGUCUGUCUGUCUCUCUCUUUCAUAUAUAAAUUUGGAGGCGGAUGGCCAUCUUAUCUGCAAACUGUCCAACAAGGGAUGUUGACCCUCAAGGGUUCAGUAUCCAGCAUGAAGAAAUCUGGGGGAGGCUCGUCUAAGCCUCUAUCUUCUUGUGACCGCUAGUUGAAGCUCCUGGGGGGAUGGGCGGGACCCCACAUCUGCCUGCCUCUAGCUGCUGAGGUGGGGGAGGUAGGGGAUGGCAAGCUACACUUGUUCCAGCCUCCCACUCCCUGCCAUCUUGGGAAGCAAGCAUAAAAAAGGACAACAGCAGAAGACCAAAGUGAUCGUGGCCGACGGUGACUCUUCCCUGGUCUGGAUUGGUCAUUUCAUCCCCUUUCCCACCAUCCCUUGUUUUGAAAGAGAAUUUAGGUUUGGAUGCCUGGCCCUCAAUCUCCAUCCUGCCCCGGCCCGGGCUCCGUCUCCAUCAGCAAGUACAAGAGGACCAGCAUCCAUCCUCCCAGUGAACCUCAGUAUCAUUCUGGAUAUUUCACCUUAACUCAGCCCAAUCUUGUAUUUUCUGGGGCAGGUGAGUAGCACAGUGGAUAAACCAUCAGGCCUGGAGUCAGGAGGACCUGGGUUCAAAUAUGAGCCGACACUUCCUGGCUGUGUGACCCUGGACAAGUCACUUAACCCUUUCCCCCUAGCCCUCGUCAUUCUGCCUUGAGUUGUUACCCUUAUUCCCAGAAAUCUGCCCCUCCUCACUUUGGCCCCCUGGAAUCUCUGGUUUUGUUCCAGAUACCCUUCCUGGAUAUCCCCCUUGCAACAGGAUUCAUUCAAGCAUGUCUCCAUACAUUUUGCCUCUCCCUUAUUCAGCUCCUUGAGGGCAGGGAUUGUCUUUGUAUGUCUUACUGAAAGGGGGAGCCCCCCCCCCCAGCAGUGUAGCACACCUAGUUGGCUGAGAGGAUCAAGCCAGACCUAGAGGAGACGUCCCGGCUUCAGACAUUCCCUGGCUGGGUGACUCUGAACCCCCACUGCCUAGCCAUUGCUGCUUUUCUGUCUUGGAAGCAGUGCACAGCAUCGAUUCCAAGACGGAAGGCAAGGGUAAAAAGCAAGCAAACAACAAAGAAAACUGGAGGGAAAUCUCUGGUUUGAGACAGAAAGCCUCUCCCCGACACCCCGUCUGGCCUCCGUGGGCUCGCUUACCGCUGUAGGCAUCCUGCUGCCGAGUGAGGUCGGGGAGCGAGCCGGGCUGGGAGGACAGUGACACGUGGUUGUGAAGGAGGCUGGAGUUGCUGG